UACGUAGGGUGCAAGCGUUGUCCGGAAUUAUUGGGCGUAAAGAGCUCGUAGGCGGUUUGUUGCGUCGGCUGUGAAAUCCCGAGGCUCAACCUCGGGUCUGCAGUCGAUACGAGCAAACUAGAGUAUUGCAGGGGAGACUGGAAUUCCUGGUGUAGCGGUGAAAUGCGCAGAUAUCAGGAGGAACACCGGUGGCGAAGGCGGGUCUCUGGGCAACAACUGACGCUGAGGAGCGAAAGCGUGGGGAGCGAACAGG
Molecule: ribosomal RNA, 253 nt
Filed under: uncultured bacterium
Lineage: Bacteria
Description: partial 16S ribosomal RNA
Rfam family: Bacterial small subunit ribosomal RNA
Source: RNAcentral